CCUACGGGCGGCAGCAGUGGGGAAUAUUGGACAAUGGGGGGAACCCUGAUCCAGCCAUGCCGCGUGUGUGAAGAAGGCCCUCGGGUUGUAAAGCACUUUCAGUGAGGAAGAACGCCUGGUGGUUAAUACCCAUCAGGAAAGACAUCACUCACAGAAGAAGCACCGGCUAACUCCGUGCCAGCAGCCGCGGUAAUACGGAGGGUGCGAGCGUUAAUCGGAAUUACUGGGCGUAAAGCGCGCGUAGGUGGCUUGAUAAGCCGGUUGUGAAAGCCCCGGGCUCAACCUGGGAACGGCAUCCGGAACUGUCAAGCUAGAGUGCAGGAGAGGAAGGUAGAAUUCCCGGUGUAGCGGUGAAAUGCGUAGAGAUCGGGAGGAAUACCAGUGGCGAAGGCGGCUUUCUGGUCUGACACUGACACUGAGGUGCGAAAGCGUGGGUAGCAAACAGGAUUAGAUACCCUGGUAGUC
Molecule: ribosomal RNA, 465 nt
Filed under: Vreelandella stevensii
Lineage: Bacteria; Pseudomonadati; Pseudomonadota; Gammaproteobacteria; Oceanospirillales; Halomonadaceae
Description: partial 16S ribosomal RNA
Rfam family: Bacterial small subunit ribosomal RNA
Source: RNAcentral